CCUCGCGCUGCGCCUGGAAAGGUCGACUGUCCGUAAGCCCGAUUGCGGAUUUCGGAUUGCGGAUUGCGGAUUGGUCUGGGUAAGUUUCCCUCGCCCCAGGUCCGCAGGCUUUCCGCUCGUGAACCGCGUCAGGCCCCCGCAGGGAGCAGCGCUAAACGAUGUCGGGAUUCGUUGCGGGGUGCCUGGGGCAUUCUACUCCCCACAAAUCCGCAAUCCGCAAUCCGCAAUUCUCGCUAGA
This 238-nucleotide signal recognition particle RNA is filed under the name Gemmatimonadota bacterium. Its description in RNAcentral is "Gemmatimonadetes bacterium signal recognition particle sRNA large type". The stretch from base 45 to 225 matches the Rfam family "Bacterial large signal recognition particle RNA". From Rfam's summary of the family: The signal recognition particle (SRP) is a universally conserved ribonucleoprotein involved in the co-translational targeting of proteins to membranes. Archaeal SRP consists of a 7S RNA and homologues of the eukaryotic SRP19 and SRP54 proteins. Lineage: Bacteria; Pseudomonadati; Gemmatimonadota. The record is from RNAcentral.